Molecule: ribosomal RNA, 495 nt
Filed under: uncultured bacterium
Lineage: Bacteria
Description: partial 16S ribosomal RNA
Rfam family: Bacterial small subunit ribosomal RNA
Source: RNAcentral
GACGAACGCUGGCGGCGUGCCUAAUACAUGCAAGUAGAACGCUGAAGGAGGAGCUUGCUUCUCUGGAUGAGUUGCGAACGGGUGAGUAACGCGUAGGUAACCUGCCUGGUAGCGGGGGAUAACUAUUGGAAACGAUAGCUAAUACCGCAUAGUAGUAGAUGUUGCAUGACAUUUGCUUAAAAGGUGCAAUUGCAUCACUACCAGAUGGACCUGCGUUGUAUUAGCUAGUUGGUGAGGUAACGGCGCACCAAGGCAACGAUACAUAGCCGACCUGAGAGGGGGAUCGGCCACACUGGGACUGAGACACGGCCCAGACUCCUACGGGAGGCAGCAGUAGGGAAUCUUGGGCAAUGGACGGAAGACUGACCGAGAAACGCCGAGUGAGUGAAGAAGGUUUUCGGAUCGUAAAGCUCUGUUGUAAGAGAAGAACGAGUGUGAGAGUGGAAAGUUGACACUGUGACGGUAUCUUACCAGAAAGGGACGGCUAACUACGUG